RNAcentral lists this transfer RNA (65 nucleotides) under Posthodiplostomum centrarchi. Its description in RNAcentral is "tRNA-Tyr". Lineage: Eukaryota; Metazoa; Platyhelminthes; Trematoda; Diplostomida; Diplostomidae. The record is from RNAcentral.
ACUAACUUAGUAUAAAUAGUACAAGAGAUUGUAGAUCUGGAGGUAAGCGUAAUUCUUAGUUAGAA